CCUACGGGGGGCUGCAGUGAGGAAUAUUGGUCAAUGGUCGGGAGACUGAACCAGCCAAGCCGCGUGAGGGAUGAAGGUACAGAGUAUCGUAAACCUCUUUUGUCAGGGAACAAAGGCGGGGACGCGUCCCCGGAUGAGUGUACCUGAAGAAAAAGCAUCGGCUAACUCCGUGCCAGCAGCCGCGGUAAUACGGAGGAUGCGAGCGUUAUCCGGAUUUAAUGGGUGUAAAGGGUGCGCAGGCGGUCUGGUAAGUCAGCGGGCAAAGGCCGGGGCUCAACCCCGGCACGGCGGUGGAAACUGGCAGGCUCGAGUUGGAGAGAAGUAUGCGGAAUGCGCGGUGUAGCGGUGAAACGCAUAGAUAUCGCGCAGAACUCCGAUUGCGAAGGCAGCAUGCCGGCUCCACACUGACGCUGAGGCACGAAAGCGUGGGUAUCGAACAGGAUUAGAUACCCCGGUAGUC
RNAcentral lists this ribosomal RNA (460 nucleotides) under uncultured bacterium. Its description in RNAcentral is "partial 16S ribosomal RNA". It matches the Rfam family "Bacterial small subunit ribosomal RNA", at positions 338 to 795 of the family's 1533-position model. The record is from RNAcentral.